GGCUAGUAGUGAACUUCUCAAAUUGGGACUCAACAACAUCNAAGGUAGCUGCCUUCCUUUUCGAACCUCUUGAGGAUGAAGUCCCACCGGAUGGGACUGAAGGCACAGAUUGAGUCCCACCUGGACUGUAUUCAUCAACUGAGGGAGGAGGUGAUGGCGGAGUUGGGUCUCUAUACCCCAUCCAGUCAGGUUGCUCAGGAAUGUACUCAAUAUUCUGAUUGAGAUCAACAUUAACACGAGGCGCAUCCCGCCCUCGACGCAUUUGACGAGCGGUCCGAACACCGCUCCCUGUAGCUCGAUCCGCAGCCCAUAACUCCACCAUUAAAUCGUAAUGGCGNAUACUCGUCACUCUCCAC
Molecule: long non-coding RNA, 356 nt
Filed under: Vigna radiata
Lineage: Eukaryota; Viridiplantae; Streptophyta; Magnoliopsida; Fabales; Fabaceae
Description: long non-coding RNA (VRAD_LNC018646)
Source: RNAcentral